CUGACAUACGAGAGUGCAUCUGAGUUACUUUAUUUGAACCUCAAAGAGGAGGCUGAUUUAAGAAUUCUUUCUGAGGCUGCAGCUUGCCGGUUACAAUGGCGUUGCCAACAGUUGACACAGCCACAUUGGAAACUCGCGUCAAGGUGGCCAAUCCAGAAGAUCCAGAGCCUUCAAUUAAUCUUUAUGUUGAAAACCAAGCUGACCCUGCAAUGCGACUUGUCUCUGAGAUGAUGAUACUCUGUGGGGAAGUCAUGGCCACCUAUGGCUCUUGCCAGAACAUUCCUUUACCCUAUAGAGGACAACCCCAAUCAAAUAUUGAUGUAUCUGCAUUUGCACACCUCCCUGAAGGGCCUGUUAGAAGUGCUGCAAUUGUCAGAAUAAUGCGUGCUGCUGAAUUUGAUUUCAGGAAACCUAUACGGCAUGGGAUUUUGGGAGUUCCUGGUUAUGUUCAGUUUACUUCUCCCA
Molecule: unclassified non-coding RNA, 465 nt
Filed under: Hevea brasiliensis (rubber tree)
Lineage: Eukaryota; Viridiplantae; Streptophyta; Magnoliopsida; Malpighiales; Euphorbiaceae
Source: RNAcentral